Molecule: long non-coding RNA, 844 nt
Filed under: Oryza sativa (Asian cultivated rice)
Lineage: Eukaryota; Viridiplantae; Streptophyta; Magnoliopsida; Poales; Poaceae
Description: long non-coding RNA (OSAT_LNC001465)
Source: RNAcentral
AGGAAUCAUUCAUAAAAUCAUUAACAAAUCAUUCGAGCACCACAAAUCAUUCACAAAAUCCCUAUAAAUACAACAAGCUGCAUUUUCUCUGUUUACCAAAUACAUCACAAAUCUCACAAAAUCACAAAAACAUUUCCAAAAUCUACAACAAAAUUACACAAAUCAUCCACACAUCGCACAUCGCACAAAUCAGAAAAUCAUCCACAUCGCACAGAUCGGGGCGCACAGAAAAUCAUCCACAUCCACACAGUGCGCCGGUCGUCCGCCGCCUCGCCGCCCGCCCGCCCGCGUUGCCGCCUCAGGCUCCGCCGUCACCCGCCGCCUCGCCGGCCUCACCGGCUGCCCGCCCGCCCGCCCACGUUGCCGCCUCGGGCUCUGCCGCCGCCCGGGGAGCGCCACCGCCCGCCGCCUCGCCGGCCGCCCGGAUCUGGGAGGGGGCUCGACCGCCCGCCCGGUCGCCCGCCGCUCCGGUCUGGGAGCGGGCUCGGCUGCCCGUGGCCGCCGCCGCCGGUGGGAGGGGCGAGGGGAGGGGAGGAAGGGGAUGGGGAGGAGAGGGGAGCGCCCAGGGGAGGAGGGCAGGAGGAGGAGGAGGAGGAGGAGGAGAGGGCUGGGAGUGAGAGGAGGAAAGGAAGAGAAGAUAAGAAGAGAAAGAAGAUAAGGUAGAGGGAGAAGAGAUAAGAGAUAGAUUUUUUUCUUAGUACCGGGCGUCUUUCCUCACGCGCUUGAUUUUUCUAAGUCCCUCUCGCGCGCGCUUUUUUUUCGAUCUUUUCUCCUGUUGAUAUAAACAACCGGGAUUAAAUAUCUAAUCUUUAGUUCCGGUUGUUGACAUCAACCGGGACUAAAG